RNAcentral lists this long non-coding RNA (1293 nucleotides) under Betta splendens (Siamese fighting fish). RNAcentral's name for it is "lncRNA (ENSBSLG00000012829.1)". The record is from RNAcentral. Lineage: Eukaryota; Metazoa; Chordata; Actinopteri; Anabantiformes; Osphronemidae.
CGAAAAAGCUGAGGCGGCGUUCUGCAGCGAGCGCGUUCGAGGGACGCGGACGCAUCGGGCGACACGCCACAGUAAUUCAAACAAUUCACUGUGUGUUUGUGUGUUUGUGUGUGUUCAUGCACGACACCGGCUCUUUAAAGCAGUCUGUUAAAAGUGGUGGAGCUCCAGGCGAGGCCAUCCAUCAGAACCAGGCACAGGCAGGUCGGAACUUGAGUCCACAGGCCGCAGAUGUCUCCCUGUUCAUUCCUUCCCUGCAUCUUUUCUCCCCUCCACACCUCACGUCCGUCCUCUGAGUGAGGAGCUCACCUCACGCUCUCUCCCUCAUGUACAGACGGACGGACGGACGGACGGACGGAAAGGUGGAUUUGUCGCUCCACCUCUUCGCUGUUAUGAUAUCGAGCGCCAGCCCACUCCUGUCAUCACUGUCGCGGCAAACAGAUUGCCUUUACACUCUGCCACUUUACUCGUCUGAAUAGCUCUCUCUUCCCUCCCUUCGACUAUUUUUCUUUUAUUUCCCCUUAAGCUCCCUUCCCGCUCUCCUCUUGUCUCCAGAGCUUCAUUUUUCUCCCUACCUCUGGCAUAUAAGCAACUCUGGCGUGACAUAAGCGAUCAAUUUAACAAUAUAUAUUGAGCAGGGGUCCCGGGAGAAAUUUGUAAUCAAGAAGUGUAUUGAUCCAGUGUAUUAUUCUGUAGUUUGCUGUUGGAACACAGUCACAUAAUAAUGCUUGAUUAUGGGCAGAUGCGCAAAAAUGAGACAAAGUAGAAGCUGGGGCCGAGCUCCUCCGAGGACAGAGCAGGGAAUCAGACGGACUCUCUGAAGAGGACGUGUUUGCUCUGUGUUUUUUCCAGCUUCGGGCGCAGGAGGAUGACUGACAGCCUCCAAAGCAGAAGUGUACACUAUCACGAUGUGGUUGCGAUAAAGGAUGACCACGCACCAUAGUGCUGAAUAAUGGAUGGAGAUAAACGGAUGGAAAACAUGCCGUAUAGGCUCAAUUUCAGAUAAUCUCCGUCCCACUGAGCAAGAUGCAUCAGACUACAACAGGAAGUGAUUCUUUUGCCUUAUUGGACCUUUUGCUGAACUUUUUUUUUUUUGCAUUAACUUGAGCAGAUGGAUCGUACUGUACUGUAGGUAGUGCUGCAAUGGUGGCAUCUAUCUGUCUGUUGUUAAAUGGGGCUUCACACUUUUAAACUUUAGUUAAUUCGCCUGAACCGAAGAGUCCGAGUCGGACGAACAUCCGUCCGAACCGUCAUCUUCCAGUUUGAAACGAGCUCUCCCUUCCCAGUUCGCAGGAG